This 106-nucleotide non-coding RNA is filed under the name Staphylococcus carnosus. Its description in RNAcentral is "SAM-I sequence". It matches the Rfam family "SAM riboswitch aptamer (S box leader)". From Rfam's summary of the family: The SAM riboswitch is found upstream of a number of genes which code for proteins involved in methionine or cysteine biosynthesis in Gram-positive bacteria. The SAM riboswitch acts at the level of transcription termination control. The predicted structure consists of a complex stem-loop region followed by a single stem loop terminator region. Lineage: Bacteria; Bacillati; Bacillota; Bacilli; Caryophanales; Staphylococcaceae. The record is from RNAcentral.
UUCUUAUUAAGAGUGAGUGGAGGGACUUGGCCCUGUGAAACUCCAGCAGCAACCGCUUUGCGGUAUCGUGCUAAAUCCAACAAGUUGAUGACUUGAAAGAUAAGAA